This is a non-coding RNA of Pelobates cultripes (western spadefoot toad), 367 nucleotides long. Lineage: Eukaryota; Metazoa; Chordata; Amphibia; Anura; Pelobatidae. The record is from the annotation of a GenBank genome assembly.
CAAAAUAUAAUCCCCAAACCCAUUAUAGUGAUAAGAGCUCCGACUCACAGACCCAUCAGAUAAAUGUACACCUUUAAACAAACCUCUACCAUACGAGUAUAGAGCUUUCACGUCACACCUAACAAAGAGCACCCCUUACCUAUCCAAAGGGAGUUUGAGUUUUCAUUCUCCAAUUUGUUAAAAUUAAUACCUCCAACUAUCACUUUGUGUACAAAGAUACAUCUUUAAAAGAGGCCAUUGCUCUGUUUAGCCCAUAGUGAUAAUGCAUUUUUAAAAAUGCUCUCCCUCAAGCCUUCCUACAAUUCCUGCAAGUCUAGAGGGACCAAAAAGUGGCUGCUAGUGUCAGCCAAUCCUGUCCUGUAACCUG